AUUGAACGCUGGCGGCAGGCCUAACACAUGCAAGUCGAACGAGUGGCGGCCGGGUGAGUAAUGUCUGGGAAACUGCCUGAUGGAGGGGGAUAACUACUGGAAACGGUAGCUAAUACCGCAUACCAUCGGAUGUGCCCAGAUGGGAUUCGCUAGUAGGUGGGGUAACGGCUCACCUCGGCGACGAUCCCUAUCUGGUCUGAGAGGAUCACCAGCCACACUGGAACUGAAGAAAGGUCCAGACUCCUACGGGAGGCGUCAGUGGGGAGUAUUGGACAAUGGGCGAAAGCCUGUGCGAGCCAUGCCGGGUGUGUUAAGAGGGUCUUCGGUGGGUAAAGCACUUUAAGGUGGGAGGCGUUACCAACAGAAUAAGCACCGGCUAACUUCGUGCCGGCGGCCGCGGUAAUAC
This 406-nucleotide ribosomal RNA is filed under the name uncultured bacterium. RNAcentral's name for it is "partial 16S ribosomal RNA". It matches the Rfam family "Bacterial small subunit ribosomal RNA", at positions 30 to 526 of the family's 1533-position model. The record is from RNAcentral.